This 301-nucleotide ribosomal RNA is filed under the name uncultured bacterium. RNAcentral describes it as "partial 16S ribosomal RNA". It matches the Rfam family "Bacterial small subunit ribosomal RNA", at positions 509 to 807 of the family's 1533-position model. The record is from RNAcentral.
CAGUAGCCGCGGGAAUACGUAGGUGGCAAGCGUUGUCCGGAAUGAUUGGGCGUAAAGGGCGCGCAGGCGGCUGUGUAAGUCUGUCUAGAAAGUGCGGGGCUAAACCCCGUGAGAGGAUGGAAACUGGACAGCUGAGAGUGUCGGAGAGGAAAGCGGAACUCCUAGUGUAGCGGUGAAAUGCGUAGAUAUUAGGAAUAACACCAGUGGCGAAGGCGACUUUCUGGACGAAAACUGACGCUGAGGCGCGAAAGCCAGGGGAGCGAACGGGAUUAGAUACCCGCGUAGUCCCUGUCUCUUAUAC